GCCACGCGCAGAGCCGUUGGCGCGCGCUGGCUGACGGAACAGCCUUGCGGCGGGCCCCUCGACGACGCCGGCAGGCCUGGCCGAGGUGGCCAGACGUUGCCCAGCCGCCCGCCACCCGCCGGUGGCCCGACCACCGGCCCGCCCCGCCCGCUUGGCGAGCACUGAGAUAUAGCUAAGCGCGACUACUACUGAAAAAUGCCAACGCAGGAAACUGGAACGCCGAGUGCCACCCGACGCCAGUCGUCAACCACAGAGGGACAUCAAGAAAGGCCGCCCAAAAGGCUCGAGGAGGACAAGGAAGGCGAGGGCGUGAACCGCGGGCCGGCGCCAAGUAGGACCUCAGAAGUCGUGCGUCACUCGACCAUGAGCCACGACAUUAUGAAUAUUUCCGAGAAAAUAGUAUCACUGAACAUGAGAAGAAACACCGGCAGUUUCUAUUCAAGGAAAUAGCUGCCUUGAUCGAGACUGACCUCAACGACAUCAAAGUGGCUCUGUGUGGUAGCCUGGUGUCAGGACUUGGAGCCAAGGACAGUGACAUAGACAUGACUCUACUGACGAAAGCAGACCACGGUGAUGAUCUGGGCUUGCUCAACGAUGUGGCAGGCACAUUGAAAAGAUAAGGUAA
This is a long non-coding RNA of Dermacentor silvarum, 625 nucleotides long. RefSeq lists it as uncharacterized. The record is from RefSeq and is a predicted model, not a curated record. Lineage: Eukaryota; Metazoa; Arthropoda; Arachnida; Ixodida; Ixodidae. The transcript is spliced from 3 exons.